AGGACGAACGCUGGCGGCGUGCUUAACACAUGCAAGUCGAGCGGAAAGGCCUUUCGGGGUACUCGAGCGGCGAACGGGUGAGUAACACGUGAGUAACCUGCCCUUCACUUUGGGAUAACCCUCGGAAACGGGGGCUAAUACCGGAUAUGACCUGGCCCGGCAUCGGGUUGGGUGGAAAGUUUUUCGGUGGGGGAUGGGCUCGCGGCCUAUCAGCUUGUUGGUGGGGUAAUGGCCUACCAAGGCGACGACGGGUAG
Molecule: ribosomal RNA, 255 nt
Filed under: uncultured bacterium
Lineage: Bacteria
Description: partial small subunit ribosomal RNA
Rfam family: Bacterial small subunit ribosomal RNA
Source: RNAcentral